ACGUAGGGUGCGAGCGUUAAUCGGAAUUACUGGGCGUAAAGGGCGCGUAGGCGGCCAAGCAAGUCUUGGGUGAAAUCCCUCGGCUCAACCGAGGAACUGCCUUGGAAACUGCAUGGCUCGAGGCCGGGAGAGGGAAGCGGAAUUCCGGGUGUAGCGGUGAAAUGCGUAGAUAUCCGGAGGAACACCGGUGGCGAAGGCGGCUUCCUGGACCGACACUGACGCUGAGGCGCGAAAGCUAGGGGAGCAAACAGGA
RNAcentral lists this ribosomal RNA (253 nucleotides) under uncultured prokaryote. RNAcentral describes it as "partial 16S ribosomal RNA". It matches the Rfam family "Bacterial small subunit ribosomal RNA", at positions 525 to 777 of the family's 1533-position model. The record is from RNAcentral.